RNAcentral lists this ribosomal RNA (327 nucleotides) under uncultured eukaryote. RNAcentral's name for it is "partial 18S ribosomal RNA". It matches the Rfam family "Eukaryotic small subunit ribosomal RNA", at positions 1470 to 1796 of the family's 1831-position model. The record is from RNAcentral.
CCCUUAGAUGUUCUGGGCCGCACGCGCGCUACACUGACGAAUGCAACGAGCUUAUAACCUUGGCCGAAAGGUCUGGGUAAUCUCCAAAUUUCGUCGUGAUGGGGAUAGAUUAUUGCAAUUAUUAAUCUUCAACGAGGAAUGCCUAGUAAGCGCAAGUCAUCAGCUUGCGUUGAUUACGUCCCUGCCCUUUGUACACACCGCCCGUCGCUCCUACCGAUUGAAUGGUCCGGUGAAGCGUUCGGACCGUGGCCUUUGGACGGUUCGCCGUCUGUUGGCUGCGGGAAGUUCGUUAAACCAUAUCAUUUAGAGGAAGGAGAAGUCGUAACA